This is a long non-coding RNA of Canis lupus familiaris (dog), 4530 nucleotides long. RefSeq lists it as uncharacterized. The transcript is spliced from 3 exons. NCBI's taxonomy places the organism in Eukaryota, Metazoa, Chordata, Mammalia, Carnivora, Canidae. The record is from RefSeq and is a predicted model, not a curated record.
ACCUGAGGCAAAGGCAGACACCCAACCGAUUACACCACUCAGGUGCCCCAAUAAAUAAGUCUUAAAAAAAAAUUAAAACAUUUUAUGAGGCACACUGAAGUAUUUAGGGGCUGAGUGUCACAUCUGUAACUUACUUUCAAGUGGUCUGACAACACAAUAUACACACCACAUCUAGAAACUCACAAUAAAAAGCUGUUCUUUUGGGGGGAGUCUUUUACACCCCCUUAGUGCACUUGAACUUAGAAGAGGCCGAGGACGGUUGGCCUGGGGUUGGAAAAAGAAAACACUGUCAUGGGUAAUUUUUAAAGUAGGUAAUAUCUGAGCACACAAUCAGGAAAUAACAGCAGACGGCAUGCUAGAACCAAUAGUGUUAAGGGUGGGAUUAUUAGUGAUUUUUUGGGUUUGCUCACACAUUUCUGUCCUUGCCAUGUUUUCUCCCUGAGUACUUAUAAUUCUGAGACUCAGAAGAAAGAAGAGAGAGAGGAGGCACACCUAAAGCUCUGCAGCCUGGCAUGCUGAUGGGCAGAGGGCUUAGUCAGUUAAGUGUUCAACUCUUCUUUUUUUUAGAUUUUUAUUUAUUUGAGGGAGAUAGAGUGUGAGAGAGGGAGCACAAGCAGGGGGAGAGGCAGAAGGAGAAGCAGACUCCGGGUGGGCUUGCAGCUUUCAGGGAACCUGCUCCACCUGCCCACUUCCUACCUGUCGCUGUCUCUGCUCUCCUUCCCAGGUGUGCUGCUGACCGAUGAGGGGUCUCUGGGAUGUCCAUCUUUCAUAGCUGGUGACUCCUGCAAAGAGAAGUCAGUGCUGGAUUUGUGAUAGGUGCCCCAAGUUGAGGGAUCUGCUUCCCAGCAUUCCUGCCUGAAGUGGCCUCGGAGCUCAAGUUCCUAUGGAGCAAUCUGAGAGAAUCAGGACCAAGCCUGUACGUGGUCAAAGAAUCAGUGGGAAAUGCCAUCCGUGCUCUGAGCGACAGAUACUGAGGAUUUAGCUUCCUGUCAUCUCUACACCCAGCAUGGGGCUCGAACUCACGACCUUGAGAUCAAGAGUUGCACACUCCUCCAACUGAGCCAGCCAGGCACCCUGGUUUCUUAGUCUUUAAAACAGGGAUGAAAACAUGGAAUAAUGUAUGUUAAUUAUACAUGAAUAAAAAAAGGAAUAAAUGAAAUGGGGAUGAAAACAACAGCACUUCUCUCAGAGGAUCUCUGUGCAGAUUUACUGAGGUGAUGCUCUGGGAGUCCUGAGUGCAGUGCUGGCGGGUGACAAGACUGUCUGCUCUCCUCCCUCGCCCUCCAAAGUACCAGUCUGGGAACCGCUAUAAGCAACAGAGCUGAGGUGUUUAGCGGGGUCUACUACAUUUUUACUGAAUGAAGACUAGAAAGGAAGCAACUCUAGUAUUCUAACGAAGUGCCUCGCAGCAGUGUCUGGGUUCUAAGUGUGGAAGCCGAACAGACUAGCUUCCCCCCCAACUCUGCCGCGGCGGGAGACCGGGGUCAGGAGACAGGCUCCAGACACCCCAAGGAUGGAUGCCCCAAGGAUGUGCAAUGCAGAGGAGGGGCAGCCACCAUGGAGAAAGCAAGGAGGCUUGCAUCUCUAGGACAAAGCCUCCCAGUUGGGCCUGCCCUUCCCUCCCUCAGCAGCUCCAGCCAGUGAGCAGCUCUGGUAUUCCAGCUAUGCAGUCCUGCUGGGACAAGAGCCAAGCUUGAAAAAUACCUUUGAGGGGGUGGGGAGAUGUAAGGCACCGCUCUCUAACCGCCACAAAGCACCCUCAGUGCCCCUCCUGCAACUCCAGAGGGGAGGGCCACACUGGGGCUCAUUGUCACACCACUGUCAAUAAGGCGGGUCUCUAUAGAUAUCCCAGAGGAGUAUUUCCAGGCCCUUUAAGACCACAUUUGUUCAUAUGGGCAGGAAGCAAGGCAGGCUGGCCACUGAGCAGAAACACCACUUCAUCACCGCCUGGAGUUUAUUCUAGGACCUGGCUGGUGCCUGGCUUUGCUUCUAAGAGAAAGCUGCUGCUCUCUCUGUGGCAGGGAUUUUUAUUUAUAGCCAGAGUGACUGUUUGGGCUGAGGAUUUUAUACCAUGAGGGGAGCUGCCUGGCUGGGAGAUUGCAGAUUUCUGUAGAAGAUCUAGCAGUGCCAGAGCAAGUCCCCGGAAAGGAAAGCAGGAAGGGCUGCCUGGCUCCCAAUGUCAGCCUUGAUCACACACACAUCAAUCAUAGAGCCAGCAACGACCAUCUAGCGAUGGUGGUGAUGCCUACUGGUCAGAUGAGGAGCUAAGGGUUUGCACGAAUCCUCUCAUUUAAUCUACAUGAAGGGCUGUUACGAUUCUUAUCACAAAGAUAAAGAAACAGGCUGGCCACACACCUUGUAACACAGCUUGGCUCCUAAGAGAGGCACAGGGGAUUUCCCACUCAGUGAACAUUCUGGGUGUGUGACAGGCCCCAAACAUGUAAUCCUAUGGAUCGGCAGGAUACAGCCUACUACCUGGCUGGGAGAUCUCCUUGGCUAAGUGUUUUGUGAUGACCAGCAAGCAAAGGCAGCGAGCCAAGGCUUAUAUACAAGCCAGGGAUGCAGAGACAUCUGCCCUCACAAGAGAUGCACAAACUGGUAGCCUGCUCUAUUCAAAACAGACACGUGAAUGAACCGCCCUGAGUCUUCCAGGUGGAGAAACGAUGGCUGACGACCCUGUAGGUUGAUGGGUGGCCACACACAUGCUAGAACACAAAGACACUCAAAGCUGGCCAGGCAUCAAUUUUCAAAGACAGUUUAUCUCCAUUAUAGUCUUGGCAUGAAAAAUGACUAGGGAUGCGGUCUGUGCUGGCAAGAAAGCAGGGAGAGAGACCUUUAAAUGCAAAAUUCUGGUUCCUCACUGUAACAGACAUUCCACUUAAUUCCUGUAACUGUCAGGAAGAAUGAGGGUGCCAGGGGAGGCAGAGAGUGUGCCAGCAGCCAAGGGCCAGAGCCACAGGCCAAUGACUCCGCUGGCUCUGCAGCUGCAGUGACUGGUGCUCCGAGCUUUGAGGAACUUUCAGCCCUCCCAAUUAUGGGUAGAGGCAAUCAUUUGAGUGAAUGGACUUACUGUCGUAAAGUGUCUGGGAAGCACAGAAGUUGCCAGAGAUUGGUCAUUACUGCAUACUCUUGGCUCCAACAAGGCUUAUGACUUCAGUGUUUCUGGAUGCUGCUUACCAACACAGAUAAGCUAUUGGACUGCUGGUUUUCAGGCUUACAUUCGUCUCCAUCAUUUGUGAGAAAACACACCCCAGGGCAGCUGCUGCUCUAGUGUGGUUUGGGCUUCCUUCCCAUACGGAGACUCACUGGGAACCACAGCUCAGCACUGGUCCUGGGCUCACACUUCCUUUAAACCAGAGACUGUGAGUGUCAACACAACACCGGGCUACGUUAUUUCUCUUGGAAGGAAGUCAAGCUUUCAGCCACUGCACAACACCCUUCACCAUCUCUACGGGACGGAUCUCUUGGAGGGAAGCACGCCUGCUUUGGCUCUUAAGGGAUGGAAAGUCACCAGGAAGGACCCUUGAUAACAUUCCUCUCUACUCCCUGUGGCACCCUGAGGGGAAGUCUGCUAGAUGCUUGUCUCCUCUCUCCUUCCUGGUCCCAGUCAACUACUUAUUUACCAAAACCUUUCUUGGAGUCUACCUUACAUCUGGAAGCAACUUCCUUCUUUGGUGCCUUUGUGUUCAUUUAUAACAACUGUGGUUUACAUAAUGUCAAAAGGGUAAGUUUCCAAAGCCCAGUGGCAGAUUCUGAGGUCUCUGCUACCAACACCUGCACCUUAGAUCUGUCUUUGCUUCUGGCCAGGAGAGGCACUUCUGUUGGCCCUGUUGGAUGAGGGAUAGGACAGUAUUCAUUUUAUCAAAGAAAGGCAAUAUCAGCACCACACUGGAUCCAAAAAAUAUCCUCUUUUUGAAUAAAUUUCUUGUGGAAUCUAUUUUUAAAAACCAUCUGAAAAUUCUAAUUAGUAUUUUACAACAAAUGAUGUAAAAAAAAGGAAAACCCAAACAAACCAAAAAUGUUCUGGUUGGGAGUUUUAGGUAGUAGGAUAGGUAAAAGUGGAAAUGUAUAGCAUUUCUUCUCAUGUGACAUAUUUUUGCAACUUGAAUAACAAGAUCUUCCUUGAAAACACUAGAUUUUGGCUAAUGGAUUCAUGGCUAAUAAUAUUCUUGCAAAAACCUCCCAAACAUUUUAGCAUGCUCUGUAUUCUCACUAAAUAUUGACCUUAAAAGCAUCAACUCUUAUGGAAAGAUUUAGUACAGAUUCAAAAAUGAUUUGAAUUCAGUUCUAGAAAUCUGACUGAACUAUUUUUAUUGUUUGGAUUUAAACAGCAUGCCAGGGACUCUAAUUUACACUUAUUCUUAGAACUCUAUUUAGAGCCUGUAGCUCUGUAAUGUGUCAGAACACAAAGGACGAAAACCCUCCUCUUGAUGACCACUCUAGGUACGGGCUUUUCUUUUUCACGUUGCCUUGCCAGGUCUCCGCUAUUUACUGGCAAUUCAGCAGUUCAUAAACAUCACCUGAACACUA